UACGGAGGGUGCAAGCGUUAUCCGGAUUCACUGGGUUUAAAGGGUGCGUAGGUGGGCAGGUAAGUCAGUGGUGAAAUCUCCGGGCUUAACCCGGAAACUGCCAUUGAUAUUAUUUGUCUUGAAUACUGUGGAGGUCGGCGGAAUAUGUCAUGUAGCGGUGAAAUGCUUAGAUAUGACAUAGAACACCAAUUGCGAAGGCAGCUGGCUACACAAUUAUUGACACUGAGGCACGAAAGCGUGGGGAUCAAACAGG
RNAcentral lists this ribosomal RNA (253 nucleotides) under uncultured bacterium. RNAcentral's name for it is "partial 16S ribosomal RNA". It matches the Rfam family "Bacterial small subunit ribosomal RNA", at positions 524 to 776 of the family's 1533-position model. The record is from RNAcentral.